Molecule: long non-coding RNA, 287 nt
Filed under: Ananas comosus (pineapple)
Lineage: Eukaryota; Viridiplantae; Streptophyta; Magnoliopsida; Poales; Bromeliaceae
Description: long non-coding RNA (ACOM_LNC044254)
Source: RNAcentral
AAUAUACAUGUUGGACUUGGAAUUGACUUAGGAGAAAACCGGCGAUUCUACACUGUCAUAUGUUAAAACUAUCAGAUUUAGCUCUAGGAGCCGUAGUUUGUUUAUAUCGCCGCAGUUUGUAGGCAGUGGAUAUCCAGGAUAGUGCAGAAUGUUUUUAUGCUCAUGUUGAGAUGUCGAGCUUUUUUUUACAGCAGUGUUUGAGUUAUUCCGGACUGUCGGGUGCCGUCGGGGUUGACGGUGGACCCAGAUUACUGUUUUUGCAUCAGAUUGUGCCGAGGGCACGUGAG